RNAcentral lists this ribosomal RNA (253 nucleotides) under uncultured bacterium. Its description in RNAcentral is "partial 16S ribosomal RNA". It matches the Rfam family "Bacterial small subunit ribosomal RNA", at positions 524 to 776 of the family's 1533-position model. The record is from RNAcentral.
AACGUAGGUUCCGAGCGUUAUCCGGAUUUACUGGGCGUAAAGCGCGUUCAGGCGGUUUGGCAAGUCGGGCAUGAAAUCUCUCGGCUCAACCGGGAGAGGUUGUCCGAUACUGCUGGACUUGAGGGCAGUAGAGGGUGGUGGAAUUCCGGGUGUAGUGGUGAAAUGCGUAGGUAUCCGGAGGAACACCAGUGGCGAAAGCGGCCACCUGGACUGUACCUGACGCUGACACGCGAAAGCUAGGGGAGCGAACGGG